This 253-nucleotide ribosomal RNA is filed under the name uncultured bacterium. RNAcentral's name for it is "partial 16S ribosomal RNA". It matches the Rfam family "Bacterial small subunit ribosomal RNA", at positions 524 to 776 of the family's 1533-position model. The record is from RNAcentral.
GACGGAGGAUGCAAGUGUUAUCCGGAAUCACUGGGCGUAAAGCGUCUGUAGGUGGUUUAAUAAGUCUAUUGUUAAAGCUUGAGGCUUAACUUCAAAUCAGCAAUGGAAACUAUUAGACUUGAGUAUAGUAGAGGUAAAAGGAAUUUCCAGUGGAGCGGUGAAAUGCGUAGAUAUUGGAAAGAACACCGAUGGCGAAGGCAUUUUACUGGGCUAUAACUGACACUCAGAGACGAAAGCUAGGGUAGCAAAUGGG